GACGAACGCUGGCGGCGUGCUUAACACAUGCAAGUCGAGCGGUAACACUUCGGGUGACGAGCGGCGGACGGCUGAGUAACGCGUAGGAACGUACCCCAAGUGAGGGAUAAGCACCAGAAAUGGUGUCUAAUACCACAUGUGAUCCACGGAUUAAAGCCUUCGGGCGCUUUGGGAACGGCCUGCGUAUGAUUGGCUUGUUGGUGAGGUAAAAGCUCACCAAGGCGACGAUCANAGCUGGUCUGAGAGGAUGAUCAGCCAGACUGGGACUGAGACACGGCCCAGACUCCUACGGGAGGCAGCAGUAGGGAAUUUUCCACAAUGGGCGAAAGCCUGAUGGAGCAACGCCGCGUGCAGGAUGAA
Molecule: ribosomal RNA, 360 nt
Filed under: uncultured bacterium
Lineage: Bacteria
Description: bacterial SSU rRNA
Rfam family: Bacterial small subunit ribosomal RNA
Source: RNAcentral